This 864-nucleotide ribosomal RNA is filed under the name uncultured bacterium. RNAcentral describes it as "bacterial SSU rRNA". It matches the Rfam family "Bacterial small subunit ribosomal RNA", at positions 9 to 863 of the family's 1533-position model. The record is from RNAcentral.
GAGUUUGAUCAUGGCUCAGGAUGAACGCUAGCGGCACGCUUCAUACAUGCAAGUCGAGGGGCAGCAUAAAGUACUUGUACUUUGAUGGCGACCGGCGAACGGGUGCGUAACGCGUAUGCAACUUACCUUUUACUAGAGAAUAGCCAAGAGAAAUUUUGAUUAAUGCUCUAUACUCUUUUUAACUCACAUGAGAUUUUAAGAAAAGCUUCGGCGGUAAAAGAUGGGCAUGCGUCCUAUUAGCUUGUAGGUGAGGUAACGGCUCACCUAAGCUCCGAUAGGUAGGGGUCCUGAGAGGGAGAUCCCCCACACUGGUACUGAGACACGGACCAGACUUCUACGGAAGGCAGCAGUAAGGAAUAUUGGACAAUGGAGGAAACUCUGAUCCAGCGAUGCCGCGUGAAGGAAGACGGCCCUAUGGGUUGUAAACUUCUUUUAUACAGGAAGAAACCUUUCCACGUGUGGAAAGCUGACGGUACUGUAAGAAUAAGGAUCGGCUAGCUCCGUGCCAGCAGCCGCGGUAAUACGGAGGAUCCAAGCGUUAUCCGGAAUUAUUGGGUUUAAAGGGUCCGCAGGCUGUUUGUUAAGUCAGGGGUGAAAUCCUACCGCUCAACGGUAGAACUGCCUUUGAUACUGGCAAACUUGAGUUAUUGUGAAGUAGUUAGAAUGUGUAGUGUAGCGGUGAAAUGCAUAGAUAUUACACAGAAUACCAAUUGCGAAGGCAGAUUACUAACAAUUAACUGACGCUGAGGGACGAAAGCGUGGGUAGCGAACAGGAUUAGAUACCCUGGUAGUCCACGCCGUAAACGAUGGUCACUAGCUGUUCGAUGUACAUUGGUACAUUGAGUGGCUAAGCGAAAGUGGUAA